UGCGCUCUCCUCGCCUGUGCCUCCCAAAACCAAUCUUUACACCAGAAUUGAUGUCAUCUCAAAACCUUUUUCAAAUCUAUCAAUCAUAUCUUAUCGGACCAAAGAAAAUUAACUCUCCCCAAAUCGACUAUUUCUAGGGUUUCUGGGUUCGAUCAAACAUCUCUAAUUGUAGAGAAAGAGGACGAAAGGAAUAUGCUUUAGCUGGCGUCGCCCAUAAUGUCAUUUCUCUGGGUCCUCAUUACUGAGAGAAAAGAACAUGAAACUGCGUUAUGCAAAUCAAGGGCACCGAAGGCUGUGAAAAAGAAAUCCUCAUCUCAAAAUCAAUCAAUCGUCAAGGUAUGGUUUUAAUCAUUCUCCUAGACCACAAUUCAGCGCUUUCAGAAUUCUACAUAAUUGUUUAGAGGUUCGAUGCCAGUUAUAAGGGACGUCCUGUAUGAUGAUGCUGCACUUUAUGGGGCUGGGAUAUUUGAUGGAGGAAACAAGCACCAUUCAGUGGCAGUCCGUCAAUUCAACAGCAAUGAAGUUUUCACCAGCAUAGAAGAACCAUCACCAUCAGAUGAACCAACUUCAAGACCUCAUGUGAAAUAUUGGUUCUAAUUUAGAAUGUACAAUAUUUUGCUAAGAACCAACUACUUUUGUACUCUAUUAUAACAACAUCUUUGGUUAGAAUCCCAUUUUGUUGAAAAUGUAAAUAUUUUAAGUGCAGAAGCUUGGUUAAAAUACUAAUUUCUGCUCAAAACUUCCGACUUUUUGAAAUAUGUAUGUAUACCAGUUUGGUUAAAACACAAGCUUUUAUAAUGUAACCAGUUUGGUUGCAUUAUGAUUAUUACCCACAUGAACUUCUUG
Rosa chinensis is the source of this 846-nucleotide long non-coding RNA. RefSeq lists it as uncharacterized. The record is from RefSeq and is a predicted model, not a curated record. The transcript is spliced from 5 exons. NCBI's taxonomy places the organism in Eukaryota, Viridiplantae, Streptophyta, Magnoliopsida, Rosales, Rosaceae.